GACGGAGGGUGCUAGCGUUGUUCGGAAUCACUGGGCGUAAAGGGCGCGUAGGCGGCUUUUGAUGUCGGAUGUGAAAGCCCGGGGCUCAACCCCGGAGGUGCAUCCGAAACUCAGAGGCUGGAGGCCGGAAGAGGAGGGUGGAAUACCCAGUGUAGAGGUGAAAUUCGUAGAUAUUGGGUGGAACACCGGUGGCGAAAGCGGCUCUCUGGUCCGGUCCUGACGCUGAGGCGCGAAAGCGUGGGGAGCAAACAGG
Molecule: ribosomal RNA, 253 nt
Filed under: uncultured bacterium
Lineage: Bacteria
Description: partial 16S ribosomal RNA
Rfam family: Bacterial small subunit ribosomal RNA
Source: RNAcentral